Molecule: ribosomal RNA, 483 nt
Filed under: uncultured bacterium
Lineage: Bacteria
Description: partial 16S ribosomal RNA
Rfam family: Bacterial small subunit ribosomal RNA
Source: RNAcentral
UUGAACGCUGGCGGCAGGCCUAACACAUGCAAGUCGAGCGGAUGAAGGGAGCUUGCUCCUGGAUUCAGCGACGGACGGGUGAGUAAUGCCUCGGAAUCUGCCUGGUAGUGGGGGAUAACGUCCGGAAACGGGCGCUAAUACCGCAUACGUCCUGAGGGAGAAAGUGGGGGAUCUUCGGACCUCACGCUAUCAGAUGAGCCUAGGUCGGAUUAGCUAGUUGGUGGGGUAAAGGCCUACCAAGGCGACGAUCCGUAACUGGUCUGAGAGGAUGAUCAGUCACACUGGAACUGAGACACGGUCCAGACUCCUACGGGAGGCAGCAGUGGGGAAUAUUGGACAAUGGGCGAAAGCCUGAUCCAGCCAUGCCGCGUGUGUGAAGAAGGUCUUCGGAUUGUAAAGCACUUUAAGUUGGGAGGAAGGGCAGUAAGUUAAUACCUUGCUGUUUUGACGUUACCAACAGAAUAAGCACCGGCUAACUUCGUG